Molecule: long non-coding RNA, 289 nt
Filed under: Bos taurus (domestic cattle)
Lineage: Eukaryota; Metazoa; Chordata; Mammalia; Artiodactyla; Bovidae
Description: long non-coding RNA NONBTAT007631
Source: RNAcentral
UCCUGGGGACUCGGGAAGAUGCUGGAACGAGGAAACAGCAUCUUGAGCCCAGUGAGACAGGAUGGGCAAGGAAGGAGACUGUAUCUCAGAUCAGCCAGGCAUCUAAGUCACAGGUGAGCCAGCACCCAAGAAGGCGUGCAUCUUCCUAGGCAGGAGUGGCCACUAUCUGACCUGGUCCCCCUGGUUUCUCUUUGCAAAAUGACUACCAUGAAGUAGACAUGGAGCCACGGGCUUGGGAGUAGUGAAAUAGCCAAGGGCAGAGGAAUUCUCACAUUGUUCACAGUAUCAG